This 252-nucleotide ribosomal RNA is filed under the name uncultured bacterium. RNAcentral describes it as "partial 16S ribosomal RNA". It matches the Rfam family "Bacterial small subunit ribosomal RNA", at positions 524 to 776 of the family's 1533-position model. The record is from RNAcentral.
UACGGGGGGGCAAGCGUUGUUCGGAAUUACUGGGCGUAAAGGGCUCGUAGGCGGCCAACUAAGUCGGACGUGAAAUCCCCAGGCUCAACCUGGGAACUGCGUCCGAUACUGGAUGGCUUGAAUCCGGGAGAGGGAUGCAGAAUUCCAGGUGUAGCGGUGAAAUGCGUAGAUAUCUGGAGGAAUACCGGUGGCGAAGGCGGCAUCCUGGACCGGCAUUGACGCUGAGGAGCGAAAGCGUGGGGAGCGAACAGG